Molecule: long non-coding RNA, 1022 nt
Organism: Carassius carassius (crucian carp)
Lineage: Eukaryota; Metazoa; Chordata; Actinopteri; Cypriniformes; Cyprinidae
Exons: 3
Source: RefSeq, a predicted model, not a curated record
CAACUAUGGUGAGGAAGUGUUAGUUCCUUCCAAUGCAUGUGAACUGUAUACUUGCCUGAACCAUCCAUUCUGUCUGUCUCAGAAGAAGCCCCGUUCAGCCUGUUGACUUCGAGUCUGCUGUAUCCCUGCCAUUCAACUGUAUUAAGAAGCCCCGUUCAGCCUGUUGACUUCGAGUCUACUGUAUCCCUGCCAUUCAACUGUAUGGUGAGAAGUGUUCGUUCCUUCCAAUGCAUGUGAACUGUAUACUUGCCUGAAACAUCCAUUCUGUCUGUCUCAGAAGAAGCCCCGUUCAGCCUGUUGACUUCGAGUCUACUGUAUCCCUGCCAUUCAACUGUAUGGUGAGAAGUGUUCGUUCCUUCCAAUGCAUGUGAACUGUAUACUUGCCUGAAACAUCCAUUCUGUCUGCCUCAGAAGAAGCCCCGUUCAGCCCGUUGACUUCGAGUCUGCUGUAUCCCUGCCAUUCAAUUGUAUUGUGAGAAGUGUUCGUUCCUUCCAAAUGCAUGUGAGCUGUAUACUUGCCUGAAACAUCCAUUCUGUCUGUCUCAGAAGAAGCCCCGUUCAGCCUGUUGACUUCGAGUCUACUGUAUCCCUGCCAUUCAACUGUAUGGUGAGAACCCCGUUCAGCCUGUUGACUUCGAGUCUGCUGUAUCCCUGCCAUUCAACUGUAUGGUGAGAAGUGUUCGUUCCUUCCAAUGCAUGUAAACUGUAUACUUGCCUUAAACAUCCAUUCUGUCUGUCUCAGAAGAAGCCCCGUUCAGCCUGUUGACUUCGAGUCUGCUGUAUUCCUGCCAUUCAUCUGGAUUGUGAGAAGUGUUUGUUCCUUCCAACGCAUGUGAAUUGUAUACUUUGUUUGAAGCAUUCAUCCUGUCUGUCUCAGUAGAAAUCCCGCGCAGCCUGUCGACUUUGAGUUUGCUGCAUCCUUGUGGCCCACCUGUGCUGAGAGAGGUGACCGUCCUUUUGUCACGAAUGUGAGGCUGACGCGCUUGGUCUGGAAUACCCACUCUGUCAGUGUCAGGAGAAGC